GAAAUGCGAUAAUUAAUGUGAAUUGCAGAAUUCAGUGAAUCAUCGAGUCUUUGAACGCACAUUGCGCCCCCUGGUAUUCCGGGGGGCAUGCCUGUCCGAGCGUCAUUGCUGCCCUCAAGCGCGGCUUGUGUGUUGGGCUUCCGUCCCUGGCAACGGGGACGGGCCCAAAAGGCAGUGGCGGCACCAUGUCUGGUCCUCGAGCGUAUGGGGCUUUGUCACCCGCUCCCGUAGGUCCAGCUGGCAGCUAGCCUCGCAACCAAUCUUUUUAACCAGGUUGACCUCGGAUCAGGUAGGGAUACCCGCUGAACUUAAGC
This 314-nucleotide unclassified non-coding RNA is filed under the name plant metagenome. RNAcentral describes it as "partial contains 5.8S ribosomal RNA, internal transcribed spacer 2, and large subunit ribosomal RNA". The stretch from base 1 to 105 matches the Rfam family "5.8S ribosomal RNA", at positions 50 to 154 of the family's 154-position model. The record is from RNAcentral.